UAGCUGUCCCCAGUCCACCUGGCCGUGCUGCUGCUCCAGUUUCAACUGACCUGAGCCCUAGGACCAUCCCUCAGGACUACCUGGCCUGAUGACUCCUUGCUGUCCCCAGUCCACCUGGCCGUGCUGCUGCUCCAGUUUCAACUGUUCUGCCUGCAGCUAUCACUAUCAACAACGUAGAACCCCGUAGGUCUGUUUCACACGACACUAUCAACAACGUAGAACCCCGUAGGUCCGUUUCACACGACACUAUCAACAACGUAGAACCCCGUAGGUCCGUUUCACACGACACUAUCAACAACGUAGAACCCCGUAGGUCCGUUUCACACGACACUAUCAACAACGUAGAACCCCGUAGGUCCGUUUCACACGACACUAUCAACAACGUAGAACCCCGUAGGUCCGUUUCACACGACACUAUCAACAACGUAGAACCCCGUAGGUCCGUUUCACACGACACUAUCAACAACGUAGAACCCCGUAGGUCCGUUUCACACGACACUAUCAACAACGUAGAACCCCGUAGGUCCGUUUCAUACGACACUAUCAACAACGUAGAACCCCGUAGGUCCGUUUCAUACGACACUAUCAACAACGUAGAACCCCGUAGGUCCGUUUUAUGGACUGUUUUGGGAAGCUUAGCUCAUUAGACACCACACCUAUGGCUAUAGUAGUAGGCUGAACUACACACACCUCAAACACACCUCAAACACACG
Oncorhynchus keta (chum salmon) is the source of this 713-nucleotide long non-coding RNA. RefSeq lists it as uncharacterized. Lineage: Eukaryota; Metazoa; Chordata; Actinopteri; Salmoniformes; Salmonidae. The record is from RefSeq and is a predicted model, not a curated record. The transcript has 3 exons.